UUGCCCUCUACCAUUGAAGAAAAUGCCUCGGAAUAUUUUGAAAGAAUGUUUAGGAGAAGGGCUCCCUGACCAGCUUUUGAUUCUGUGAUUUCCCCAUAGCUCGCGUGUUCCUUUGCAACAGAAACCAGUGCAGAACUUAUGCGUGCCUUCAGCCCUGGCAGUAUAGCUUUGAUAUGCUGCACCAGAACCUGGUUCAACUUCUUUGCCAACUGAGGAAUGCCACAACGAUCAGCUAGGCCAUUAUACACUGGACGACUGCGGAAGAACUUCUCCUCAGCUGCAAGUGCAUCCUUGAUACUCCGAUUUAGCAUAAUAUCCUCUUGACUUCGAUUAACAACACCAACAUAACCAAGUCGAAGGGGAAUCACUUUUCCAAGCAACAGAUUACGAGCAUC
This 395-nucleotide unclassified non-coding RNA is filed under the name Hevea brasiliensis (rubber tree). Lineage: Eukaryota; Viridiplantae; Streptophyta; Magnoliopsida; Malpighiales; Euphorbiaceae. The record is from RNAcentral.